Molecule: unclassified non-coding RNA, 909 nt
Filed under: Hevea brasiliensis (rubber tree)
Lineage: Eukaryota; Viridiplantae; Streptophyta; Magnoliopsida; Malpighiales; Euphorbiaceae
Source: RNAcentral
GAAGAAAGUUGGGAGGCUUGGUGGGAUGAAGAACUGGCUCAUAUUCGAACCUUUGGAGGAAGGGUGAUGGAGACCAUUCUUAGUUUACGAUUUUUUAUUUUCCAAUACGGCAUUGUCUAUAAGUUAGAUGUUCAAGGAACAAAUACAUCUUUAACGGUGUAUGGUUUUUCAUGGGUAGCAUUUGCUGUCAUCUUACUCCUCUUCAAGGUGUUCACUUUCAGCCAGAAAAUAUCAGUUAAUUUCCAGUUGCUGUUGCGUUUUAUCCAAGGCCUAUCGUUUUUGCUUGCUGUUGCUGGUUUAGCUGCUGCUGUUGUAUUGACCGAACUUACUGUGACGGAUGUCUUUGCAUGCAUCUUAGCAUUCAUACCCACUGGUUGGGGAAUUCUCUCAAUUGCUGCAGCAUGGAAGCCUCUAAUCAAGAAAAUGGGGAUGUGGAAGUCUUUCCGUUCAGUUGCUCGUCUGUUUGACGCUGGUAUGGGUGUGCUCAUUUUCAUCCCAAUCGCGCUUUUUUCUUGGUUCCCCUUCAUUUCAACAUUUCAAACCCGGCUUAUGUUCAACCAAGCGUUCAGUCGAGGGCUGGAGAUCUCUCUUAUCCUUGCUGGAAACAAUCCAAACACCGGUUUAUAAUCUCUCUGACAAGUUCUACCAAGGCCAGGAUCUGAAAGAGAGGAUUCACUUUCCGAAAUUCCAAGUGACAUGAUUCCUCCUUCAGAAGCUUCAUCUUCCUCUGAUCUUGUACAGAGUAAGAGUAGUUCAUAUUGUUCUAUCACAUUUAGGAGCCUUUAGUAGAGUACUUUAUGUUAUUAGUAAUUAUUGUAAAAUCUGGUAAUGUACAGUUUUCAGAUAUGUAAAAUCAUAAUUUUGACUCUACAUGAUCCCUCAUUAUUAUUGCACUGAACAUUAUUGUUU